UAAUUUAUUUUUAUAUAUUAUUUAGUAUUGCAUACUAUUAUAAGAAAAUGUUAUUAUUUAUAAAAAAUAGAAAUAAAAGGUAGAAAAAUAAUUAGUUUUAUUGUUUCAUAAUAAAAAUUAUUAUUUUUGGAGUUGAUAUGUUGACUUUUAUGAUAUCUGUAUAAUUUAUUUUAUUAGAAAAUUAUAUUUUAUUUAUUUAUUAUAGGAAAAGUAAAAUUUAUAGUGUUUUAAUUUUUUGUUUUAUAACAAUUUCUAUUAGAAUUUAGUAUAUUAAUAUAUUAAUUAACAAAUUAUUGUUAAUUAAAAAAUUUUUGAAUUAGUAAAUUUAUAAAAUAAAUAAAUUAUUUUAAUAUAAUUUUAAGAACUUGAAAUCUUGAUCAAAUGUUUUUUAAAGACUUAGGUUUUAAAUUUAAAACUGGCUUCUGCCCUAUGAAUUUUAAAUGGCAGUCUUAGCGUGAGGACAUUAAGGUAGCAAAAUAAUUUGUGCUUUUAUUGAGUUCCAGUAUGAAUGAAGUUAUUGGUUAGUUAUAUUUAUGUUUUAUUAUUGAAUUUAUUAUUUAUUUAAGAAAAAAUAAUUAUAUUUAAACAAAGAUAAGUCUUCGGAAAUUCUAUUAUUAAAUAUUUAUAUAAAUAUUUAAUAAAUUUUCUAGGGUAGAAUAUUAUAUAAUUGUUUUUUACUAUUUUUAAUAUAAAGAAUUACUCCGGAGUUAACAGAAAAUCAUACCUAAUCUAGUACUUAUAGUAAGGUAAGUUUUACAUCGAUGUUGUAUUUAGAUAAUCUAAAAGAGGAGAAGAUUUAGUUUUUAAGACUGUUCUUCUAUUAAAUAAUCUAACGUGAUAUUAGUUUAAUUCAUUGUGAGAUAGAAUUGUUUAUCUUGUUAAAUAUUUAUUUUUAAUACUUUUAGUACGAAAGGAAAAUUGUAAAAGUUUGAAACUUU
Molecule: ribosomal RNA, 938 nt
Filed under: Caenorhabditis sp.
Lineage: Eukaryota; Metazoa; Nematoda; Chromadorea; Rhabditida; Rhabditidae
Description: 16S ribosomal RNA
Source: RNAcentral